Hemiscyllium ocellatum (epaulette shark) is the source of this 676-nucleotide long non-coding RNA. RefSeq lists it as uncharacterized. Lineage: Eukaryota; Metazoa; Chordata; Chondrichthyes; Orectolobiformes; Hemiscylliidae. The record is from RefSeq and is a predicted model, not a curated record. The transcript is spliced from 7 exons.
AGGCUGUCACUGGCUCGGCCAGCAUUUAUUGCUGCGUUUACCCAGUGGGCAGUUAAGAAUCAACCACGUUGCUAUAGGUCUGGAGUCCCAUGCAGACCAGACCAGAUCCCAGUGAUCAGUGCCAAAGCCCCAUUGCCUGUGGAGAGGGUGAUGUUUGAUUUCCCUGUCCAGCUGCAAUUCGUGUGGUGAAGGUGCUCCCACAAUGUGGUUGGGGAUCUGCACUGGAACCCUUCUGUUUGCAGGACAAAUAUAUAUUUGAUGAAGAUGUGUUGAAAAUGUUUGCAGUUACUGAUCUGCUGAACGAAAAUGACCACUUUUAAACUGAUGAUUGGACUAGAGACCUUUGAGAAAACUUGAAAAUAUUCAUUAAGUUCUCAACAAAAGAAAUUAACUAGUUCUGCUGGUUCUAAAUCCGUGGAAAAUAUUUGAGAAUGUUGUGGUCUUAAAGGUGAAAGGGCUAAGUGAUCGGAAUACAUCACUUCAUCGGAGGCAUUCAGAGAAGAUUGACUGGGAUGAUCCUUGGUUUGAAGGGAUUCUCUUUUAAGAAAAGGCUGAAGAAGUCCGGACUCUACUCACUCGAUUUGGGAAGAAUGAGAAGUGAACUCUUUCAAACAUAUCGGCUUCCUCAGGGGUUUGACAAGGUAUCCCCGAAAACCUGCUUAUUUGGCAAUUCUUU